Molecule: ribosomal RNA, 253 nt
Filed under: uncultured bacterium
Lineage: Bacteria
Description: partial 16S ribosomal RNA
Rfam family: Bacterial small subunit ribosomal RNA
Source: RNAcentral
UACAGAGGUCUCAAGCGUUGUUCGGAUUCAUUGGGCGUAAAGGGUGCGUAGGCGGCGCGGUAAGUCGGGUGUGAAAUCUCGGAGCUUAACUCCGAAACUGCAUUCGAUACUGCCGUGCUUGAGGACUGGAGAGGAGACUGGAAUUUACGGUGUAGCGGUGAAAUGCGUAGAUAUCGUAAGGAAGACCAGUGGCGAAGGCGGGUCUCUGGACAGUUCCUGACACUGAUGAGCGAAAGCCAGGGGAGCAAACGGG